This 1429-nucleotide ribosomal RNA is filed under the name Pseudopaludicola canga. RNAcentral describes it as "partial 16S ribosomal RNA". It matches the Rfam family "Bacterial large subunit ribosomal RNA", at positions 361 to 2597 of the family's 2925-position model. Lineage: Eukaryota; Metazoa; Chordata; Amphibia; Anura; Leptodactylidae. The record is from RNAcentral.
AGCUGAAAAUCUAGCCCCCAACAAACUCAUGUACACACUUAUCUGCCCUAUUUAAUUAAAUCAUUCUUACACCUAAGUAGAGGAGAUCGAAAAGCUUUAUUGGAGCUAUAUAAUAAGUACCGCAAGGGAAAGAUGAAAUAUUAAUGAAAUUAACCUCAAGCCAAAUAAAAUAGAGACUAACCCUCGUACCUUUCGCAUCAUGGUUUAACAAGUCCAACCAAGCAAAAAGAAUCUUUCAGUUUGACUCCCCGAAACUAGACGAGCUACUUAAGAGCAGCUUACUGAGCUAACCCAUCUCUGUAGCAAAAGAGUGGGAUGACUUUUAAAUAGCGGUGACAGACCUACCGAGCCUAGUGAUAGCUGGUUGCUUAAGAAAGGAAUUUAAGUUCAACCUAAAUUUAAUUUAAUACUACUUUAUAAGAUUAUAAAUUUAGAGCAAUUCAAAUAAGGUACAGCCUAUUUGAAUCAGGACACAACCUUAAACAAUGGGUUAACCAGUUCAUUAUUACAAUAAAGUAGGCCUAAGAGCAGCCAUCUUUACUAACAGCGUCAAAGCUUAAUUGUAUACUGAAUAAAUACCUAACAUUUCAUUUACCCCUUCCCCCCAUAUUAAGCAAUUCUAUAUAAUUAUAGAAACUUCUAUGUUAAUACUAGUAACAAGAACUAGAUGUUCUCUUAGAUUUAAGUGUAAAUCAGAAAGGACUCACCACUGAUAAUUAACAUCAUUAAAACUAAAGCAACAACUCAUCAAGAAAACACUACUUUCAUUUAUGUUAAUCUAACACAAGAAAAUCUUAAGAAAGAUUAAAAGGAAAAGAAGGAACUCGGCAAAUAUUAACCCCGCCUGUUUACCAAAAACAUCGCCUCUUGCACUACACAUAAGAGGUCCAGCCUGCCCAGUGACAUUGUUCAACGGCCGCGGUAUCCUAACCGUGCGAAGGUAGCGUAAUCACUUGUUCUUUAAAUAAGGACUAGUAUGAAUGGCAUCACGAGGGUUAUACUGUCUCCUCUUCCUAAUCAGUGAAACUAAUCUCCCCGUGAAGAAGCGGGGGUAAUAUUAUAAGACGAGAAGACCCUAUGGAGCUUUAGAUUAAACGACACUUGUUUGCACUAAUUUUAAAUUCCAGAAAAACAUGCCCACUUAACAAGAUAAUCGUCAAUCUUAGGUUGGGGUGACCGCGGAGCAUAAAAUAACCUCCAUGUUGAAUGACAUUUACUAUCUUAUUCACGAGCAACCACUCUAAAAAUCAACAUACUGACAUCUAUUGACCCAAUUUUUGAUCAACGAACCAAGUUACCCUAGGGAUAACAGCGCAAUCCUCUUCAAGAGCUCCUAUCGACAAGUGGGUUUACGACCUCGAUGUUGGAUCAGGGUAUCCAAGUGGUGUAGCCGCUACUAAAGGUUCGUUUGUUCAACGAUUAAAACCCU